GUCCCUGUAGCGCAAUGAAUAGCGCGUUGGACUUCUAAUCCAAAGGUCGUGGAUUCGAAUCUUACCUGGGAUG
This 73-nucleotide transfer RNA is filed under the name Trichonephila inaurata madagascariensis. It matches the Rfam family "tRNA". Rfam says of the family: Transfer RNA (tRNA) molecules are approximately 80 nucleotides in length. Their secondary structure includes four short double-helical elements and three loops (D, anti-codon, and T loops). Further hydrogen bonds mediate the characteristic L-shaped molecular structure. tRNAs have two regions of fundamental functional importance: the anti-codon, which is responsible for specific mRNA codon recognition, and the 3' end, to which the tRNAs corresponding amino acid is attached (by aminoacyl-tRNA synthetases). tRNAs cope with the degeneracy of the genetic code in two manners: having more than one tRNA (with a specific anti-codon) for a particular amino acid; and 'wobble' base-pairing, i.e. permitting non-standard base-pairing at the 3rd anti-codon position. The record is from Rfam by way of RNAcentral. Lineage: Eukaryota; Metazoa; Arthropoda; Arachnida; Araneae; Nephilidae.